GGAGUAGAAAAUUAAUCAAUCAAUAAUAAAUGAAGUCUCAUUUUGGAUAUAUUGAGAAAGAAUUCCUAGAAGAAAACACUGAGAAGGAAACUCUGAAGCGUGGAAAAGUAUCCUAUGAGGAGUACCUUUUGCAUCAUGGUCUAUGGAUUAAAGUGACAGAUAGGUCUAAUUCCCGAAUUUAGGUGAUCUACUCCUCUAAAGAGCUUAAUGUUUCAUAAUUAUCUGGUAUAGAGGGGUAGGAGUGAAAUGUUAUAACGAACCUAAAGAUAUCUGGUUUCUUGGGAAGUGAAUUUAAUUCAGUGGUCCUAAGGUCACUUUCAAUUUAGAGAGGGGGUUCCUAUUGGUUCAGUAACCUAAAGAGAGAUAAGUUUCUUUAGGUCUCUCAAAUGGAAAAGAGGCUCUUAUACUUCGGAAGAAAUUUGAUGUAACGUUUAUGUACUACCAUAUGGGGAAAGAGAUUUAUUAAACUUCAUUGAGGAUGAUACCAAGAAGAAACUCACUAACUUAGUUGGGUUGGUUGUAAUCAUAGAAUAAGUACUGCCCCUUCUAAUCUUUCUAAAGGAACUCGGCAAAAGUUUUCCCGCCGGUUUACCAAAAACUUGUCCUUGAGGAAAUAGUUCAAGGUAAGAUCUGCUCACUGAGCAUCAAUUAAAGAGCCGCAGUAGCUUGACUGUGCAAAGGUAGCAUAAUAAUUAGCACCUUAAUUAGGUGAUGGAAUGAAUGAUCAGACGAGGAAAAGGCUGUCUCUGGAGAGAUUCAGAAAAUUAACUUUUAAGUUAAAAGGCUUAAAUAAUGAUAGAGGACGAGAAGACCCUAUAGAGCUCUGUUGAAGGAAAAAUUAAUAAGAUUUUCUAUCUUUAACUUAGUUGGGGGUACUAGACAAUAUAUCUAAUUUGUCUUUAAUAUUACUCUAAUAGGAGAGUUGCAUAACCCUCAUUGGGGAAUAAAGAGAAGCUACCUUAGGGAUAACAGCGUAAUUUCUAGUCCUAGCUCUCAUAAUACUAGAAGAUUGCGACCUCGAUGUUGAAUUAAGACCUCACUCAGAGGCAGAAGGCUGGGAAGUUAGUCUGUUCGACUAUUAAAGUCUUACAUGAUUUGAGUUCAGACCGACGUAAGUCAGGUCAGUUUCUAUCCCUAUCUCUGAGUCUAAUUUCUGUACGAAAGGAUCGAAUUAGAGGUGGGACCCA
RNAcentral lists this ribosomal RNA (1187 nucleotides) under Laemobothrion atrum. RNAcentral's name for it is "16S ribosomal RNA". The stretch from base 535 to 1187 matches the Rfam family "Archaeal large subunit ribosomal RNA", at positions 1423 to 2782 of the family's 2987-position model. The record is from RNAcentral. Lineage: Eukaryota; Metazoa; Arthropoda; Insecta; Psocodea; Laemobothriidae.